GACGAACGCUGGCGGCGUGCUUAACACAUGCAAGUCGAACGGAAAGGCCCUGCUCUUGUGGGGUGCUCGAGUGGCGAACGGGUGAGUAACACGUGAGUAACCUGCCCUUGACUUUGGGAUAACUUCAGGAAACUGGGGCUAAUACCGGAUAGGAGCUCCUGCUGCAUGGUGGGGGUUGGAAAGUUUCGGCGGUUGGGGAUGGACUCGCGGCUUAUCAGCUUGUUGGUGGGGUAGUGGCUUACCAAGGCUUUGACGGGUAGCCGGCCUGAGAGGGUGACCGGCGACAUUGGGACUGAGAUACGGCCCAGACUCCUACGGGAGGCAGCAGUGGGGAAUAUUGCACAAUGGGCGGAAGCCUGAGGCAGCAACGCCGCGUGCGGGAUGACGGCCUUCGGGUUGAAAACCGCUUUCGCCUGUGACGAAGCGUGAGUGACGGUAAUGGGUAAAGAAGCACCGGCUAACUACGUG
This 468-nucleotide ribosomal RNA is filed under the name uncultured bacterium. Its description in RNAcentral is "partial 16S ribosomal RNA". It matches the Rfam family "Bacterial small subunit ribosomal RNA", at positions 28 to 507 of the family's 1533-position model. The record is from RNAcentral.